CUCAGGUGUUGUUGGGUAGGGGAGCGUUCUGUAAGCCUGUGAAGGUGGCCUGUGAGGGUUGCUGGAGGUAUCAGAAGUGCGAAUGCUGACAUAAGUAACGAUAAAGCGGGUGAAAAGCCCGCUCGCCGGAAGACCAAGGGUUCCUGUCCAACGUUAAUCGGGGCAGGGUGAGUCGACCCCUAAGGCGAGGCCGAAAGGCGUAGUCGAUGGGAAACGGGUUAAUAUUCCCGUACUUGGUGUUACUGCGAAGGGGGGACGGAGAAGGCUAUGUUGGCCGGGCGACGGUUGUCCCGGUUUAAGCGUGUAGGUGUGUGUUCCAGGUAAAUCCGGUUCACUUUAACACUGAGGCGUGACGACGAGGCACUACGGUGCUGAAGCAACAAAUGCCCUGCUUCCAGGAAAAGCCUCUAAGCAUCAGGUAACAUCAAAUCGUACCCCAAACCGACACAGGUGGUCAGGUAGAGAAUACCAAGGCGCUUGAGAGAACUCGGGUGAAGGAACUAGGCAAAAUGGUGCCGUAACUUCGGGAGAAGGCACACUGACACGUAGGUGAAGUGAUUUACUCAUGGAGCUGAAGUCAGUCGAAGAUACCAGCUGGCUGCAACUGUUUAUUAAAAACACAGCACUGUGCAAACACGAAAGUGGACGUAUACGGUGUGACGCCUGCCCGGUGCCGGAAGGUUAAUUGAUGGGGUCAGCGCAAGCGAAGCUCCUGAUCGAAGCCCCGGUAAACGGCGGCCGUAACUAUAACGGUCCUAAGGUAGCGAAAUUCCUUGUCGGGUAAGUUCCGACCUGCACGAAUGGCGUAAUGAUGGCCAGGCUGUCUCCACCCGAGACUCAGUGAAAUUGAACUCGCUGUGAAGAUGCAGUGUACCCGCGGCAAGACGGAAAGACCCCGUGAACCUUUACUAUAGCUUGACACUGAACAUUGAGCCUUGAUGUGUAGGAUAGGUGGGAGGCUUUGAAGUGUGGACGCCAGUCUGCAUGGAGCCGACCUUGAAAUACCACCCUUUAAUGUUU
Molecule: ribosomal RNA, 1020 nt
Filed under: Salmonella enterica subsp. enterica serovar Reading
Lineage: Bacteria; Pseudomonadati; Pseudomonadota; Gammaproteobacteria; Enterobacterales; Enterobacteriaceae
Description: partial 23S ribosomal RNA
Rfam family: Bacterial large subunit ribosomal RNA
Source: RNAcentral